Molecule: long non-coding RNA, 1471 nt
Organism: Gavialis gangeticus (Gharial)
Lineage: Eukaryota; Metazoa; Chordata; Crocodylia; Gavialidae
Exons: 5
Source: RefSeq, a predicted model, not a curated record
ACCUCCCCACCAGAACAAACCUAGAAAGAAAGAGAGAAUUGACACCUGAAUAAAAUUAUAUUUGGCCAGGUUCUGGGGGUUUUUUGAGAUCCAUCUGCUGUUAUUGAAGUCCUUAAUAAGUGUUCUCACAGCCCAGCUUUCCUUUUUGUUGGAGCCUGCAGUGAAGUCAGAAUCCUGUGAUGAUGACAUCAGAUUGUUGCUAUGGAAAUGACAAACCCAGUCACAAAGUCAACACUGUGUCUCACCACAGCUUCAAAGAGCAGCAAGGCUGGGAGGGAGCAAGUUCUUGUUGAAACUGAGGACAAAUAUAUGAAACAAUAUCUGAAAGUGUGACUCCAGCCUAAACAGCCAGGACCUCCAUCAUAGACUCCAUAGUGCUACCUCAAGCUGACUGGACCAUCCCAGUGCCAGUUGGGAAACACACACGCACACAAACACACAUAAUGCACUGUUCUAACCUAGUCUACUUAGUCAGAGGAGACAGACAGCUUGACUCCAGACCUGAACAUCAACUGCUUGGAUCCAGUUCUGCCCUGCUCAAAAUAGUUUAUAGUAAAGCAUAAACUGAACCAUCAAAAAUAGGAUCUCAAUCCUUCGAAAUGUCAGGAGAUCAAGUUCACUGCACAGCAAGAGCUGAGUGUUCAGUCCAAGAGGCUGCAUCAUUGUCAAAGGCUCAAGAUUAUUUAGAAUGAAGAAAAAAAAUCUUUCCUUGAGUAGCAGCAGUUAGCGACCUGAGCCUGCUCAUUGUGUUCCCCCUGUGGAUCAUGUGCAGACUUGACACAUUUGCUCAGAAAAAGCUGGAGAUGCCAAGAACUGUAGAAAGGGUUCAGUCCUGAAGGUCCCUGAGUGUAGCAGAGAAAAAUGCAGAAUCAAUGUGCUGGUGUUUCACAAGUCACCACAAAUUAAACCACCUCACCAUCCCAGCUUCUCUUCCAUACAUUUUACACGUUUGGAGGGAGCAAGGACUCAUCUUCCCUGCUUCUCCAAAAUUUUACUGCUCAUCUUUAUCAAGCAAGCUUCAGAUGUUAAUAUAACAACUGGGAUUUUAUUGUGUUACUAAUGAGGUGAGGGUGCCUGAAGUCAUGGCUAGACAUCUUUCUAUUGUUCUAUCAUUAUAUUACUUGUUAUAUUAAUAAUAUAGUCAUUAUAUUAAUAAUUAGCUUUAUUAUUCUGCCUCUAAUAGAUUUCUGAGAAUGUUAUGAAGCUAAAUAAGCAUUAUUGUCAUUAUAGAGAGAGUGACUCAGAAUCAUGAAGUGAUUAGGUGGCUUUCCCAAAGCAUUAACAUCACUAUGAUCAUUAUAAUUAUUAUUAUUGUUUUUUAAGGGUGUUGUACUGUAUUACUGGUCAGUCAAAAACAAGAUUUGCUGGCCAGUCACUUUACAAAUGGAGAGCAAAAAGACGGUUUGUGCACCAGGAAGCUUGUAAUCUGAGGCCAUAUACACACACAUUCAAAUGAUCCGGCAUAAUUCCC